AGUGAACGCUGGCGGUAGGCCUAACACAUGCAAGUCGAACGGCAGCACAGUAAGCGCUUGCUCUUACGGGUGGCGAGUGGCGGACGGGUGAGGAAUACAUCGGAAUCUACUUUUUCGUGGGGGAUAACGUAGGGAAACUUACGCUACUACCGCAUACGACCUACGGGUGAAAGCAGGGGAUCUUCGGACCUUGCGCGAUUGAAUUAGCCGAUGUCGGAUUAGCUAGUUGGCGGGGUAAAGGCCCACCAAGGCGACGAUCCGUAGCUGGUCUGAGAGGAUGAUCAGCCAUACUGGAACUGAGACACGGUCCAGACUCCUACGGGAGGCAGCAGUGGGGAAUAUUGGACAAUGGGCGCAAGCCUGAUCCAGCCAUACCGCGUGGGUGAAGAAGGCCUUCGGGUUGUAAAGCCCUUUUGUUGGGAAAGAAAAGCAGCAGGUUAAUACCCCGCUGUUCUGACGGUACCCAAAGAAUAAGCACCGGCUAACUUCGUG
RNAcentral lists this ribosomal RNA (492 nucleotides) under uncultured bacterium. RNAcentral's name for it is "partial 16S ribosomal RNA". It matches the Rfam family "Bacterial small subunit ribosomal RNA", at positions 29 to 507 of the family's 1533-position model. The record is from RNAcentral.